UGGGCUUUCUCAUCUGUCUAGUUUUCAUUUUAACAUAUGGGUUCCCAGUGUCACUGUUCCUGUCUUAUCUGAAGGAUUUGUGCAGUGAAAUCAAAUUCUCAUCUUCAGUUUUCUUGCUUCUCUGUCAUUUCGAUUAACAAGAAAGCGAAUGCUUUAUUCAGUGUUUUUUGUGGGGGGAAGAAGUUAACCAAGCAAGUUAGGCU
This 203-nucleotide long non-coding RNA is filed under the name Pan troglodytes (chimpanzee). RNAcentral's name for it is "long non-coding RNA NONPTRT003068". The record is from RNAcentral. Lineage: Eukaryota; Metazoa; Chordata; Mammalia; Primates; Hominidae.